GAUGAACGCUGGCGGCGUGCCUAAUACAUGCCAGUCGAGCGAACAGAGGAGGAGCUUGCUCCUCUGACGUUAGCGGCGGACGGGUGAGUAACACGUGGAUAACCUACCUAUAAGACUGGGAUAACUUCGGGACACCGGAGCUAAUACCGGAUAAUAUAUUGAACCGCAUGGUUCAAUAGUGAAAGACGGUUUUGCUGUCACUUAUAGAUGGAUCCGCGCCGCAUUAGCUAGUUGGUAAGGUAACGGCUUACCAAGGCGACGAUGCGUAGCCGACCUGAGAGGGUGACCGGCCACACUGGAACUGAGACACGGUCCAGACUCCUACGGGAGGCAGAAGUAGGGAAUCUUCCGCAAUGGGCGAAAGCCUGACGGAGCAACGCCGCGUGAGUGAUGAAGGUCUUCGGAUCGUAAAACUCUGUUAUUAGGGAAGAACAAAUGUGUAAGUAACUAUGCACGUCUUGACGGUACCUAAUCAGAAAGCCACGGCUAACUACGUG
Molecule: ribosomal RNA, 497 nt
Filed under: uncultured bacterium
Lineage: Bacteria
Description: partial 16S ribosomal RNA
Rfam family: Bacterial small subunit ribosomal RNA
Source: RNAcentral